Long non-coding RNA from Gadus morhua (Atlantic cod), 295 nucleotides. RefSeq lists it as uncharacterized. NCBI's taxonomy places the organism in Eukaryota, Metazoa, Chordata, Actinopteri, Gadiformes, Gadidae. The transcript has 2 exons. The record is from RefSeq and is a predicted model, not a curated record.
GCUACUUGCACAAGCACUUCCUGAUUCGCCGUAAUACAGCUCAUCAGCUUCCGGUUCCAAGAUGGCAACGUUCUACACCCGGUGUUUACAGGAGCUGCCGACAAUAAAUAUCACAGAUGUGCAUCGUUUAUGUCGGGAAACAAAAACUCCGACAAGCAGAUUGGAGAAGGGGUUUAGGCUGUAUGCUUCGACCUACAUUCACAGCUAGGAAGAUCAAGCUUUGUGAUUCAGCAGCCAAGGGAUGAAAAAAGAAAGAGUUAAUCUAUGGGCUGGAGCAGCUGUCUCUGAGAGGAAA